RNAcentral lists this transfer RNA (70 nucleotides) under Loxodonta africana (African savanna elephant). It matches the Rfam family "tRNA". From Rfam's summary of the family: Transfer RNA (tRNA) molecules are approximately 80 nucleotides in length. Their secondary structure includes four short double-helical elements and three loops (D, anti-codon, and T loops). Lineage: Eukaryota; Metazoa; Chordata; Mammalia; Proboscidea; Elephantidae. The record is from Rfam by way of RNAcentral.
GCAGUCGUGGUUCAGUGGUAGAAUUCUCGCCUUCCAUGCAGGAGACCCAGGUUUGAUUCCAGCUAAUGCA